UACGUAGGGGGCAAGCGUUGUCCGGAAUCAUUGGGCGUAAAGAGCGUGUAGGCGGUCCGGUAAGUCGGCUGUGAAAGUCCAGGGCUCAACCCUGGGAUGCCGGUCGAUACUGCCGGACUAGAGUUCGGAAGAGGCGAGUGGAAUUCCCGGUGUAGCGGUGAAAUGCGUAGAUAUCUGGAGGAACACCGGUGGCGAAGGCGGCAUCCUGGACCAACACUGACGCUGAGUGAGCGAAAGCCAGGGGAGCAAACGGG
This 254-nucleotide ribosomal RNA is filed under the name uncultured bacterium. RNAcentral describes it as "partial 16S ribosomal RNA". It matches the Rfam family "Bacterial small subunit ribosomal RNA", at positions 524 to 776 of the family's 1533-position model. The record is from RNAcentral.